CCCUUUGCAACCCCGCGCCACGCUCCCUAUAUAGGGAUUGUCCUUCGGGACUAUGAACAUAAACGCGCUCGUAAUAAGCGGAUCGGACCCGGGGGCGGUACCCGGCGUCUCCACCAAAAACCUUCAUUUGGGGUGUGCGGGGACGAAACAGGAUCGACGAACGUCUAAAGGGGUUAGCUUUGUUUCGGUGAGAUACCACCGUUAUCGGUUCAUCUAAGCUAGUUGCAAAUGACAACAAUGCUCCGGUUGCACUCGCAGCGUAAGCUGUGCGGAAUACCGAAAAUUAAGCCCUAGGCCCUAGCAGGUCUAGGCGGGGUUCGCAGGCACCUGGCAACAGAAGCCUGCACU
Molecule: non-coding RNA, 348 nt
Organism: Pseudooctadecabacter jejudonensis
Lineage: Bacteria; Pseudomonadati; Pseudomonadota; Alphaproteobacteria; Rhodobacterales; Paracoccaceae
Rfam family: Alphaproteobacteria transfer-messenger RNA
About the family: Bacterial tmRNA, also known as 10Sa RNA or SsrA, is named for its dual tRNA and mRNA-like properties. Its role is to liberate the mRNA from a stalled ribosome.
Source: Rfam